RNAcentral lists this ribosomal RNA (496 nucleotides) under uncultured bacterium. RNAcentral describes it as "partial 16S ribosomal RNA". It matches the Rfam family "Bacterial small subunit ribosomal RNA", at positions 28 to 506 of the family's 1533-position model. The record is from RNAcentral.
GAUGAACGCUGGCGGCGUGCCUAAUACAUGCAAGUCGAGCGAACGGACGAGAAGCUUGCUUCUCUGAUGUUAGCGGCGGACGGGCGAGUAACACGUGGAUAACCUACCUAUAAGACUGGGAUAACUUCGGGAAACCGUAGCUAAUACCGGAUAAUAUUUUGAACCGCAUGGUUCAAAAGUGAAAGACGGUCUUGCUGUCACUUAUAGAUGGAUCCGCGCUGCAUUAGCUAGUUGGUAAGGUAACGGCUUACCAAGGCAACGAUGCAUAGCCGACCUGAGAGGGUGAUCGGCCACACUGGAACUGAGACACGGUCCAGACUCCUACGGGAGGCAGCAGUAGGGAAUCUUCCGCAAUGGGCGAAAGCCUGACGGAGCAACGCCGCGUGAGUGAUGAAGGUCUUCGGAUCGUAAAACUCUGUUAUUAGGGAAGAACAUAUGUGUAAGUAACUGUGCACAUCUUGACGGUACCUAAUCAGAAAGCCACGGCUAACUACGU